UUCAAAAUAUUAACCAGUACCUUCUCGUAAGAUAAAUUCUCCUAAAGUGGAAGUGACUUGUAAGACAAGACAUGUGAGCGGUCAGAGUUAUACUUGCGUAACAUUAACACAUAAAAGAGUUAUAUACUCUGGAUAGUUUUGGAGAUAGUGCUUGUCUGUAGGCGGAUACUCUAAUGUUGUCCAAAAUCUCAAAUGGUCUGAUGAAUCGGGGGUUCGACUUUUUCUUCUUCCCAAACCUGGUGAUAC
Molecule: long non-coding RNA, 246 nt
Filed under: Carica papaya (papaya)
Lineage: Eukaryota; Viridiplantae; Streptophyta; Magnoliopsida; Brassicales; Caricaceae
Description: long non-coding RNA (CPAP_LNC008691)
Source: RNAcentral